GGUUGAUCCUGCCAGUAACAUAUGCUUGUCUCAAAGAUUAAGCCAUGCAUGUCUAAGUAUAAACAAAUUUAUACUGUGAAACUGCGUACAGCUCAUUAAAUCAGUCAUUAUUUAUUUGAUGGUUUCUUACUCACAUGGAUACCCGUAGUAAUUCUAGAGCUAAUACAUGCAAAAAAUCCCGACUCACGAAGGGAUGUAUUUAUUAGAUAAAAAACCAAUGCACCCUCUGGGUGGUUUUGUGGUGACUCAUAAUAACUGAUCGAAUCGCAUAGCUUCAUGCUGGCGAUAGUUCA
RNAcentral lists this ribosomal RNA (293 nucleotides) under uncultured eukaryote. Its description in RNAcentral is "partial 18S ribosomal RNA". It matches the Rfam family "Eukaryotic small subunit ribosomal RNA", at positions 6 to 297 of the family's 1831-position model. The record is from RNAcentral.